Molecule: long non-coding RNA, 375 nt
Organism: Herpailurus yagouaroundi (jaguarundi)
Lineage: Eukaryota; Metazoa; Chordata; Mammalia; Carnivora; Felidae
Exons: 2
Source: RefSeq, a predicted model, not a curated record
UAAAUAACAAUUUUCGUACAUGAAUUGGUAUUUACUUUACAAGUCAACUUUUUAUGUUCAUAUAGGAGAUCAGACUGGUAACUGAAUCAGAGCUCAUGACCUGAAAUGGGUAAGGUGAUCUGAAUUGAGAUGUUUAAAUCGCAAGACAGAACAAUUGAAAUCCUACUGGAAGACAGGGGGCCCCACAGAAAAUAGAUGUGCUCUAGGGGCAAUGAACCAGUCCUCCACUACACUAGACACUGACUGCAGGUACAAGAGUGAGCCCAGCUGAGAGCAUCUGCGCCUGGCACAGACCAGCAGUACAAUGAUCUGAGCCCAAGGCAAGUUGUUAACCCACAGAAUGACCAGUUAAUAAACUUCGGAUCUCUAAAGCCA